UUUCCAUUUAAUCGAUAUUUAAAAAUUGGGUUGUUACACUUUCUCUCUCACUUAUAUUCUAGGUUUGGCUUAUGGAACUUCAGUACCAUCGUACCACCACCAUUGCAACUACUACACCACUCUCAAAUGUUAGACCCACCAUAACCAGACCCACUCCUCCCUUCUUCUCUCCAAAACAUGUCCAUCCGUCAUAUGCCUCCACACACCGACCAUUUUGUUGUCUCCCUUACCACAAUCUUCCACAAACAUCCACUCCUCUUUUUCUCCUCAUUUUGUCUUUCUUUCUUUCUCCAGAAUCGUUGUUGUAAUUAUUUCCUUAUGUCGACUUGAUUUGUGUGGAUCUAAAUCUGGUUAUAGAUAUGUAUGUCGAUUUGAAUUGGUUCUACAGCUGACCAUUUUCGAUGGACGGAACAUAUUGAUUUUGUUGUUUGAUUUAUAAGGCUUUCUUUAUAAAUGUCUUUCUUUAAUUUAUAGUUUUUUUUAUUUUUAUUUUUUUUAUUUUUACAAAUGAUUAUUCUUAGUUUUUUUUCUGCAUCUAAGAAACAAAUAGGAAGACGUGUUAACAGCUAAAAUAUCAUUUGUGUGUCUUUCUAUAUAAAGAUCCAGAAACAAACGGAAGAUGUGUUAACACCUUCGUCGGCGACCACCACCUCUACUAUACUUCACUGCAACAUCUUCGUCGUCUCAUCCCCAACAUCAAACAACCGCUACCAUUACUAUUUUCACAACAAAACCAUUACUAUGUCUUCGCCUUUACCUAUAUCAUUUCUAAAAAUCUCAUCACCUCUUCUUUUAUCACUCAAAUGGGUUAUUAGAUCUGAGAAAAUAAUUGGGUUUCUGAUCAUUUUGUGUGCGUAUGUAUAAAUCUGGUAUGCAAAAGAUCUAAAAUCUAUUUUUCAUCUUAUUUUUGUUGUUUUGAGCUCAUUAACUUAAUUUUUCAUCUUAUUUUCGUUGUUUUAGGGUUGUUCACAUGAUGUUCAAGUCUGUGUAUAUGUGUAUGUUUAUUUGAUCAAGAUGUGUGUUUGUUUUUUAUAUAGUUUUGUAGGUGUUUAGUAUAGAUUUUAGUGUUUUGUAGACAUAUCUUUGUAAAUUUUAUUUUGUAAAGAUUUAUUUUUGGUCGACAAUAUUAUUAUUAAUGUUCUUAACGGUAAACAGUGUAGAUCUUAAUGUUUUGUAGUGUAAAUCUUAGUUUCUAAUAUAUGUUUGGGUUGAGAAAAAAUUGUAAUUAUGUUGAAACUUUGUUAUUUCAUUGAAUUUAUCUUAAGAAAGCUUCCUGAUAUGAGAAAAGCAUUUUGUUUUAUGUAAGAUUUUUAGUUGUGUGUUAUGAUUUAGAUGGUGCUUAUCAUGUUUGUUCCAUGAGAUAUUUUUUGUAACUUGGUCCUUAUUAUGAUAUUUAUGACAAUUUGCACCUCAAUGGUUAGAAAUUCCUUUAAAUCAACGGCUCUUACAAACCUAAGUGCUAUGAUAUUCCUUUAAAUCAAGUUUUAGUCUUAUUUCACUAAAGUUCCUUGAUAUGCUCUUGCUGUUUAUCAAGUUGUAGUCUGAUGCUUGAUUAAAGUGCUAUGAUAUUUCAAACGUAUUAGCAAGAGUUUUGACUAAAAUACCUAUGAUGUUUUGGGCAAAAUUUCAUUAAUCUUGCUGAUGUUGUGGUUUCCAUUUGACUUAUUCCCAUAAU
Molecule: long non-coding RNA, 1675 nt
Filed under: Lactuca sativa (garden lettuce)
Lineage: Eukaryota; Viridiplantae; Streptophyta; Magnoliopsida; Asterales; Asteraceae
Description: long non-coding RNA (LSAT_LNC006635)
Source: RNAcentral